Molecule: small RNA, 439 nt
Filed under: Arabidopsis thaliana (thale cress)
Lineage: Eukaryota; Viridiplantae; Streptophyta; Magnoliopsida; Brassicales; Brassicaceae
Description: ATSL194480
Source: RNAcentral
AAAAUUCAGGAAAACCAUGAAAUUUUAAGAAGUGACAUGAAUCAAAUAAAAAAUAAUGAAAAACAAUUUAGCAUUUGGUCAUGGUCACCGUGAUAUUAUUACGGAGUAAGUGGUGGUAGAGAAUAUCCAUAAAGGGAAGAGAAGUUGAUGACAUAAAUCCGGCGAUGGAAAUAAUCCAGUAAAAGAGAGUGAGAGAAAGAGAAAAAAAGUGAGAGAAGAUGAGAAAAUGAUAUGUUAGUAAUUUUAUUUGCCUCUCCGAUAAAGUACUGUUGCCCAUGGUCAUUUACUCUAUUCUUUUUGGUUUCAUGGCUAUUUUGUACAUAUACUCAAAUAUUAAAACGUAAUCUAUAUAUACAUUUUUGCAGCCAUUUUGUGAAAUAAAUCCUGGAGAUGGGACUUAUUUACAAUGGCUGCUACUGGCAUUUAUUAUUUAGUUUUA